This 669-nucleotide ribosomal RNA is filed under the name uncultured Lachnospiraceae bacterium. RNAcentral's name for it is "bacterial SSU rRNA". It matches the Rfam family "Bacterial small subunit ribosomal RNA", at positions 61 to 736 of the family's 1533-position model. Lineage: Bacteria; Bacillati; Bacillota; Clostridia; Lachnospirales; Lachnospiraceae. The record is from RNAcentral.
ACCUUAUUUGAUUUUCUUCGGAACUGAAGAUUUGGUGAUUGAGUGGCGGACGGGUGAGUAACGCGUGGGUAACCUGCCCUGUACAGGGGGAUAACAGUCAGAAAUGACUGCUAAUACCGCAUAAGACCACAGCACCGCAUGGAUGCAGGGGUAAAAACUCCGGUGGUACAGGAUGGACCCGCGUCUGAUUAGCUGGUUGGUGAGGUAACGGCUCACCAAGGCGACGAUCAGUAGCCGGCUUGAGAGAGUGACCGGCAACAUUGGGAUUGAGACACGGCCCAAAUUCUUACGGGAGCCAACCAUUGGGGAAUAUGCACCAAUGGGGGAAACCCUGAUGCAGCGAACGCCGCGGUGAGUGAAGAAGUAUCUCGGUAUGUAAAGCUCUAUCAGCAGGGAAGAUAAUGACGGUACCUGACUAAGAGGCCCCGGCUAAAUACGUGCCAGCAGCCGCGGUAAUACGUAGGGGGCAAGCGUUAUCCGGAAUUACUGGGUGUAAAGGGUGCGUAGGUGGUAUGGCAAGUCAGAAGUGAAAACCCAGGGCUUAACUCUGGGACUGCUUUUGAAACUGUCAGACUGGAGUGCAGGAGAGGUAAGCGGAAUUCCUAGUGUAGCGGUGAAAUGCGUAGAUAUUAGGAGGAACAUCAGUGGCGAAGGCGGCUUACUGGACUG